CCCUAAAUCCCUUUUCGAAAAUCGAGUUCACUCCCAACCCCAAUGUGAACGUUACCAAUCUGUUGCCUCGGCGGGAUUCUCUUGCCCCGGGCGCGUCGCAGCCCCGGAUCCCAUGGCGCCCGCCGGAGGACCAACUCCAAACUCUUUUUUUCUCUCCGUCGCGGCUCCCGUCGCGGCUCUGUUUUAUUUUUGCUCUGAGCCUUUCUCGGCGACCCUAGCGGGCGUCUCGAAAAUGAAUCAAAACUUUCAACAACGGAUCUCUUGGUUCUGGCAUCGAUGAAGAACGCAGCGAAAUGCGAUAAGUAAUGUGAAUUGCAGAAUUCAGUGAAUCAUCGAAUCUUUGAACGCACAUUGCGCCCGCCAGUAUUCUGGCGGGCAUGCCUGUCCGAGCGUCAUUUCAACCCUCGAACCCCUCCGGGGGGUCGGCGUUGGGGAUCGGCCCCUCACCGGGCCGCCCCCGAAAUACAGUGGCGGUCUCGCCGCAGCCUCUCCUGCGCAGUAGUUUGCACACUCGCACCGGGAGCGCGGCGCGGCCACAGCCGUAAAACACCCCAAACUUCUGAAAUGUUGACCUCGGAUCAGGUAGGAAUACCCGCUGAACUUAAGCAUAUCAAUAAGCGAGGGAA
Molecule: ribosomal RNA, 626 nt
Filed under: Trichoderma longibrachiatum
Lineage: Eukaryota; Fungi; Ascomycota; Sordariomycetes; Hypocreales; Hypocreaceae
Description: eukaryotic LSU rRNA
Rfam family: 5.8S ribosomal RNA (bases 242-395)
Source: RNAcentral